RNAcentral lists this ribosomal RNA (253 nucleotides) under uncultured bacterium. RNAcentral's name for it is "partial 16S ribosomal RNA". It matches the Rfam family "Bacterial small subunit ribosomal RNA", at positions 524 to 776 of the family's 1533-position model. The record is from RNAcentral.
UACGAAGGGGGCUAGCGUUGUUCGGAAUUACUGGGCGUAAAGCGUGCGCAGGCGGCUUCUCAAGUCAGGGGUGAAAGCCCAGAGCUUAACUCUGGAAUUGCCUUUGAGACUGAGAGGCUUGAGUACGGGAGAGGUGAGUGGAAUUCCCAGUGUAGAGGUGAAAUUCGUAGAUAUUGGGAAGAACACCGGUGGCGAAGGCGGCUCACUGGCCCGUAACUGACGCUCAUGCACGACAGCGUGGGGAUCAAGCAGG